UGUAUACUGAGGCCUGGGAUAAAGACAAGACGCAAAUUCACAUCAUGCCCGACACACCUGAAAUCACACUGGCAAAACAGAAUAUGCAUAAUUACAGUGAGAAACUGUACAAACAAGCCAUGGAAGAAGCAAAAAAGAAAGGCUAUGAUUUGAGAAGUGAUGCUAUCCCAAUUCAGGCUGCCAAAGCAUCCAGGCAAAUUGCCAGUGAUUACAAGUAUAAAGAAGGGUACCGCAAGCAGCUGGGCCACCACAU
Lagopus leucura (white-tailed ptarmigan) is the source of this 253-nucleotide long non-coding RNA. RefSeq lists it as uncharacterized. Lineage: Eukaryota; Metazoa; Chordata; Aves; Galliformes; Phasianidae. The transcript is spliced from 3 exons. The record is from RefSeq and is a predicted model, not a curated record.